AAACAUCGCCUCCUGAUUUAUUAUAGGAGGUCCAGCCUGCCCAGUGACCCAGUUAAACGGCCGCGGUACCCUAACCGUGCGAAGGUAGCGCAAUCACUUGUUCUUUAAAUGAGGACUAGUAUGAAUGGCAUCACGAAGGCUACACUGUCUCCCCCCUCCAAUCAGUGAAACUGAUCUCCCCGUGAAGAAGCGGGGAUAAAACCAUAAGACGAGAAGACCCCAUGGAGCUUAAAACUCAGUUUCACCUGCACACCAAUAUAUCACAUCAACCCUGCAGACCUGAUUACUAGUUUUCGGUUGGGGUGACCACGGAGCAAAACAAAACCUCCACGACGAAAGGACAUCUCCCUAAUCCAAGAGCAACAACUCUAAGAAUCAAAAAAUUGACGUUACUUGAUCCAAGUUUACUUGAUCAACGAACCAAGUUACCCUGGGGAUAACAGCGCAAUCCAUUUCAAGAGCUCCUAUCGACAAAUGGGUUUACGACCUCGAUGUUGGAUCAGGGUAUCCUAGUGGUGCAGCCGCUACUAAAGGUUCGUUUGUUCAACGAU
RNAcentral lists this ribosomal RNA (551 nucleotides) under Phrynomantis bifasciatus (banded rubber frog). RNAcentral's name for it is "partial 16S ribosomal RNA". It matches the Rfam family "Bacterial large subunit ribosomal RNA", at positions 1811 to 2588 of the family's 2925-position model. The record is from RNAcentral. Lineage: Eukaryota; Metazoa; Chordata; Amphibia; Anura; Microhylidae.